CGAAUCGUAAAGCUCUGUCCUAUGGGAAGAUAAUGACGGUACCAUAGGAGGAAGCCCCGGCUAACUACGUGCCAGCAGCCGCGGUAAUACGUAGGGGGCGAGCGUUGUCCGGAAUUACUGGGCGUAAAGGGUUCGCAGGCGGCAUGACAAGUCCGAUGUAAAAGGCGAAAGCUCAACUUUCGUAAGCAUCGGAAACUGUCAAGCUUGAGUGAAGGAGAGGCAAGUGGAAUUCCUAGUGUAGCGGUGGAAUGCGUAGAUAUUAGGAGGAAUACCGGUGGCGAAGGCGACUUGCUGGACUUCAACUGACGCUGAGGAACGAAAGCGUGGGUAGCAAACAGGAUUAGAUACCCUGGUAGUCCACGCCGUAAACGAUGAGUGCUAGGUGUCGGGGGUCAAACCUCGGUGCCGUCGUUAACACACUAAGCACUCCGCCUGGGGAGUACGUGCGCAAGCAUGAAACUCAAAGGAAUUGACGGGGACCCGCACAAGCAGCGGAGCAUGUGGUUUAAUUCGAAGCAACCACUUUAGAGAUAAAGUUUUUUCUUCGGAAACGCUAAUACAGGUGGUGCAUGGUUGUCGUCAGCUCGUGUCGUGAGAUGUUGGGUUAAGUCCCGCAACGAGCGCAACCCUUACUUCUAGUUGCCAGCACGUAAUGGUGGGAACUCUAGAGGGACUGCCGAUGAUAAAUCGGAGGAAGGUGGGGAUGACGUCAAAUCAUCAUGCCCUUUAUGUCCUGGGCUACACACGUGCUACAAUGGUCGGUACAGAGGGCAGCGAAAGAGCGAUCUCAAGCGAAUCUCAAAAAACCGAUCCCAGUUCGGAUUGCAGGCUGCAACUCGCCUGCAUGAAGUCGGAGUUGCUAGUAAUCGCAGAUCAGAAUGCUGCGGUGAAUGCGUUCCCGGGUCUUGUACACACCGCCCGUCACACCAUGGGAGUUGGCAAUACCCGAAGCCGGCGAGCUAACCGCAAGGAGGCAGCCGUCGAAGGUAGGGUUAAUGACUGGGGUGAAGUCGUAACAAGGUAGCCGUAUCGGAAGGUGCGGCUG
RNAcentral lists this ribosomal RNA (1045 nucleotides) under human gut metagenome. RNAcentral describes it as "bacterial SSU rRNA". It matches the Rfam family "Bacterial small subunit ribosomal RNA", at positions 419 to 1520 of the family's 1533-position model. The record is from RNAcentral.